GGCUUGAUAGGACAAACGGUUAGUGUUCCUGCUUUAAUUAUGCAUUGCACGCAUUGUGGACCACGCGAGUAUAAUAUACCCCCCCCCCCCUCCCUCCCCCCACUGAAGAAAUAAUGCAGAUGAUCCCGGUUCGAUUCCGGGUCAGGCCA
Mycena rosella is the source of this 149-nucleotide non-coding RNA. The record is from the annotation of a GenBank genome assembly. NCBI's taxonomy places the organism in Eukaryota, Fungi, Basidiomycota, Agaricomycetes, Agaricales, Mycenaceae.